GACGAACGCUGGCGGCGUGCUUAACACAUGCAAGUCGAACGGUGAAGCGCCUUCCUUUUUGGUGGGUGUGGAUGAGUGGCGAACGGGUGAGUAACACGUGAGUAACCUGCCCCCUUCUUCUGGAUAACCGCAUGAAAGUGUGGCUAAUACGGGAUAUUCUGGGUCUGUCGCAUGAUGGGUCUGGGAAAGAUAUUGUUUCGGUGGGGGAUGGGCUCGCGGCCUAUCAGCUUGUUGGUGGGGUGAUGGCCUACCAAGGCGGUGACGGGUAGCCGGCCUGGGAGGGUGGACGGUCACACUGGGACUGAGACACGGCCCAGACUCCUACGGGAGGCAGCAGUGGAGGGUAUUGCACAAUGGGCGAAAGCCUGAUGCAGCGACGCCGCGUAAGGGAUGGCGGCCUUCGGGUUGUGAACCUCUUUCGCCAGUGAAGCAGGCCUGCCUCGUUUGUGGGUGGGUUGACGGUAGCUGGAUAAGAAGCGCCGGCUAACUACGUG
Molecule: ribosomal RNA, 494 nt
Filed under: uncultured bacterium
Lineage: Bacteria
Description: partial 16S ribosomal RNA
Rfam family: Bacterial small subunit ribosomal RNA
Source: RNAcentral